CCAAAGGCUGGGGUGCAUUGAAAUGGGAGGACACAAGCAAAUGGUAAUCCUAGCAAGAGAUGGAACUCUCUCUCAGGGGCUGGUAUCUCAGAAACAGAAGAUACUUUGUUCACUUCCUUUUACUAGAUUUCAGUUGAUCAUAUCUUUCAAAGGAACAUGCUAACAAAUCUUCGUACCAUGAACUCCAGUUAACAAAGGUAUAGUUGAGGAAUGUCCUGGCUUUGAUUUGUCAAACAGAAGUUCCUUCUGUGGCGCUGCCUUCAUUUUCUCCCUGUGACAGAAUUUAAAAAAAUGGAUUAUUGCACUUGAUGUACUAGGGAAACCAGCAGCCUCGAGCCAUAGGAAAAUUUAUUCAAUGAAAAUUCAAGGAGACCACACAUGUGCCAGGAACCAGGACUUGAUCAAAGAGACUUUUAAAUUCAAACAUGGAUGUCAUGUGUGAGACAGCCAUCUUUUCUAUGCUGAAGAGUCUUUUUAUGGGCAAAACUAAAGACUGCAGGACUCACACAGGGUUACAGCCCAAAAUAGCAACCUUUGUGUAGAAAGAACUUACUUACAAUACCUUUCCUCCAUAAUGUCCCAUACAAGUUGUACAUUACAAAGUGGGAGGGGAGAAAUGUCAGUACUGAAGCUGAAGUCCUUUCAGCUGAAGCCCUGUGUUCCAUUUUUGUAAGCAUGUGGAUUUCAUAGUUGAUUGAUUGGGUUGCUAUCUAUCAAAGGAAACAUUCCCUUCUAUACCAGAAGACAAUGCCAGGUGGAAGAAAUAAGGAAACAGAACAAAAUCAAGUACCCUUUC
Hemicordylus capensis (graceful crag lizard) is the source of this 796-nucleotide long non-coding RNA. RefSeq lists it as uncharacterized. Lineage: Eukaryota; Metazoa; Chordata; Lepidosauria; Squamata; Cordylidae. The transcript is spliced from 3 exons. The record is from RefSeq and is a predicted model, not a curated record.